Molecule: ribosomal RNA, 305 nt
Filed under: uncultured bacterium
Lineage: Bacteria
Description: bacterial SSU rRNA
Rfam family: Bacterial small subunit ribosomal RNA
Source: RNAcentral
UGCGCCUACGGGAGGCAGCAGUGGGGAAUAUUGCGCAAUGGGCGGAAGCCUGACGCAGCGACGCCGCGUGCGGGACGAAGGCCUUCGGGUCGUAAACCGCUUUCAGCAGGGACGAGGCCCUCACGGUGACGGUACCUGCAGAAGAAGCCCCGGCUAACUACGUGCCAGCAGCCGCGGUAAUACGUAGGGGGCGAGCGUUAUCCGGAUUCAUUGGGCGUAAAGCGCGCGUAGGCGGCCUGUUAGGUCGGGGGUCAAAUACCGGGGCUCAAUUCGGGUCCGCCCCCGAUACUGGCAGGGUUGAGUGU